UACUAUGUUACGACUUAUCUCAACUAAUAAUAAUGAGAGUGACGGGAGAUGUGUACAUAUUAUAGAGCUAAAAUCAAAAUUACAAUCUACAAAAAAUUACAAUUAAAUCCAAUUUCAUAUUUCAACAUUACAUAAAAUAAUUCAAUAAUUAAUAUAAAUGUAAUCCAUCUCCACCAAAUUAUAAACUGCACCUUGACCUGAAAUAAAUUCAAAAAAUAAAAACUAGAAAAUUAUUAAACUCUAAAAAGAUUUUCAAAAUAACGGCGGUAUACAUACAUAAAUCUGGUAAGGUACAACGCGGACUAUCGAUUAAGGGACAGAUUCCUCUAAAUAGACUAAAAUACCGCCAAAUUCUUUGAGUUUCAAGACCUUAACUAAUACUACCUAAGUUUAAUUAAUAAUUUACUACCAAAAUAUAGGGUAUCUAAUCCUAGUUU
This 437-nucleotide ribosomal RNA is filed under the name Melanozosteria soror. Its description in RNAcentral is "partial 12S ribosomal RNA". The record is from RNAcentral. Lineage: Eukaryota; Metazoa; Arthropoda; Insecta; Blattodea; Blattidae.